RNAcentral lists this long non-coding RNA (874 nucleotides) under Homo sapiens (human). RNAcentral describes it as "CNN3 divergent transcript". Lineage: Eukaryota; Metazoa; Chordata; Mammalia; Primates; Hominidae. The record is from RNAcentral.
AAAUAAGGCUGAGACCUGCUAGGCUGCAUUCCCAGACGGUUAAGGCAUUCUAAGUCACAGAAUGAGUUAGGAGGUCAGCACAAGGUACAGGUCAUAAAGACUUUGCUGAUAAAACAGGUUUCAGUAAAGAAGCCAGCCAAAACCCACCAAAACCAAAAUGGCGGCAAGAAUGACCUCUGGUCGUCCUCACUGCUACACUCCCACCAGCGCCAUGACAGUUUGCAAAUGCCAUGGCAACAUCAGGAAGUUGCCCUAUAUGAUCUAAAAAAAGGAGGCAUGAAUAAGCCACCCCUUGUUUAGCGUAUCAUCAAGAAAUAACUAUAAAUAAGGGCAACCGGCAGCCCAAGGGGCUGCUCAGUCUGGAGUAGCCAUUUUUUUAUUCCUCCUAAUAAACUUGCUUUCACUUUACAGACUCGCCCUGAAUUCUUUCUUGUGUGAAAUCCAAGAGCCCUCUCUUGGGGUUGGAUCGGGACCCUGUUCCUGUAACAAGUCCACAAUGCCAGAGAAUUAAAGAGAACCACAAAGCUGAACCUCAAAAAGUUAGCCUGGCGAGGGGAGGAUGAUGAGAUUUCCCCUGUUGUCACAUAAACAAGGAAGUAAAGGGGGCCCCUUGUGCUCUCAGAACUCCAAGCAUGAAACGAUUUUCUGCCAUUUCAGUUCCUGUUAUCGUGCUUUGAGGUGCACUGAACUGCAGCAAACCCAGGGGAUCCAAGGCUACGUUGAAAAGCCUUUGACCACAGUGCAGGGAGCAGAAGACAUUAAUGACGUGAUGUCGACACAGCCCGCACUCAGGAUCCUCCAGGAAAAGAACACAGAGAUAACCCCGGAUCGAUGGUACUUUUUGAAAAUGCUUUAUUGCAAAAGAGUGGCUAGG